Molecule: unclassified non-coding RNA, 320 nt
Filed under: fungal sp.
Lineage: Eukaryota; Fungi
Description: partial internal transcribed spacer region
Rfam family: Eukaryotic small subunit ribosomal RNA (bases 1-46)
Source: RNAcentral
AAGUCGUAACAAGGUUUCCGUAGGUGAACCUGCGGAAGGAUCAUUACAAAACAAAAUCCAAACCACACCAAAUGUGCUCUAUAAAUGCUGAGAAGCUGUCUUUGUGUGUGAAUGUUACUGUCUGUGUGAGGAGGAAAAUUUAUUUUUUCCUCCUCGCACUCUCACACACACACACACACAAUCCUUCUUUUCAGCAUUGUCUUUGUUUAUCAAUUUUUUCAUUAACUCCUUGUUUAACCAACAACGGAUUACAAUGUUAAAACUUGAAACAAAAAAACAAAACAAAAUGACAACUUUUAACGGUGGAUCUCUUGGCUCGU